AUGACUCUCGGCAACGGAUAUCUCGGCUCUUGCAUCGAUGAAGAACGUAGCGAAAUGCGAUACUUGGUGUGAAUUGCAGAAUCCCGUGAACCAUCGAGUCUUUGAACGCAAGUUGCGCCCGAAGCCAUUAGGUUGAGGGCACGCCUGCCUG
RNAcentral lists this ribosomal RNA (151 nucleotides) under Indigofera pendula. Its description in RNAcentral is "5.8S ribosomal RNA". It matches the Rfam family "5.8S ribosomal RNA". Rfam says of the family: 5.8S ribosomal RNA (5.8S rRNA) is a component of the large subunit of the eukaryotic ribosome. It is transcribed by RNA polymerase I as part of the 45S precursor that also contains 18S and 28S rRNA. The record is from RNAcentral. Lineage: Eukaryota; Viridiplantae; Streptophyta; Magnoliopsida; Fabales; Fabaceae.